GAGAGAGAGAGACAGAGCAUGAGCAUGAGCAGGGGAGGGACAGAGAGAGAGGGAGACACAGAAUCUGAAGCAGGCUCCAGGCUCCGAGCUGUCAGCACAGAGCCCGACUCGGGGCUCGAACUCACAUGCCAUGAGAUCAUGACCUGAGCUGAAGCUGGACACUGAACCGACUGAGCCAUCCAGGCGCCCCUGGUUGGUAAGUUGUUUAAAGUUUUUAUCACCUACUCAUGUGAUCAAGGUUUGCUGUUUUGUUUUUUUUUUUAACUGAUGGUUACUAGCUAUAAUAGGAGAAAACUUAUAAAAGCUUGAGUAGGAAUUGUAUGUAGCAUACACACCCUGUCAAAACAAAAAUGUUCCCAAGUGUUUAAAAGCCGUCAUUUGCCCGACUUUGAGGUUUCAACAAUAUCAAAAUUAUGAACUUCUGUUUACUCAAACACUGCACAAAGGUAGCUUUGUGGUCCAUUCGCUGAAUAAUAUAGAAAGAUUUUCUGGAAAAUGUUUCUUGAGAGAGCCUGCGCCUUUGAAGUGAAACUAAGGGCCACUAAGCCUAAUCCACGUAGAUGGCUGUUGCAUAGCCGACGAUCAUUCCGGAAGCAUCCCGUUUCUGAGUGCGAGGCAAAGACUGGCAGUGGCUUCCGGGCACAGUGAGCUCAGUAGCGUUGCGUUUGGCCCCGGAGGUCAGGAAUGAUGGUGGUCAUGGGAGAAAGAGGUAAGAGGGAUGUGGGACAUUCUCAAUUCUGGAAAUGAGAUAAAAAAAAAAAAAAACAACGUUAAAUGAUACGCUAUUUAAAAAAAUCCAAAAAGUGGGUGAAGAGGUGAGUCACAGGCUAAAAAAUAUUUGCGACAUAAAAUCAAUAAAAGGCUAGCGUCCAGAAUGAACAAAGUAUGUUGAAAAAUCAAUAAGGAUUAACCAUCAAUAGAAAAAUAGAGGAAAAGACUUGAACAGGUGCUUCAUGAGAGAAGAUCUGAGUAGCCAGUAAGCAUGGUGAAAAUGCUUCAUUAAUCACAGAAAUGCACAAUAAUGUCAAAAUGAUUACACAUCCACUAAACUGGAUUUAAUUUGAAUUUAAAGGUCUUGGGAAUACUACGGUGGUGAGUACGUGAAGUUAAGGACCCGGUAAAAUUGGCCUCUGAUACGCUUAAGCAAAUUCAAACUCGACGAGAGCUGGCCCAGUUGCAAGCAACCGCCCAGUUGCAGACCUCCCA
This 1206-nucleotide long non-coding RNA is filed under the name Lynx pardinus (Iberian lynx). The record is from RNAcentral. Lineage: Eukaryota; Metazoa; Chordata; Mammalia; Carnivora; Felidae.